This 433-nucleotide ribosomal RNA is filed under the name uncultured bacterium. RNAcentral's name for it is "partial 16S ribosomal RNA". It matches the Rfam family "Bacterial small subunit ribosomal RNA", at positions 29 to 507 of the family's 1533-position model. The record is from RNAcentral.
AACGAACGCUGGCGGCAUGCCUAACACAUGCAAGUCGAACGAGACCUUCGGGUCUAGUGGCGCACGGGUGCGUAACGCGUGGGAAUCUACCCUCAGGUUCGGAAUAACUCAGAGAAAUUUGAGCUAAUACCGGAUGAUGACGUAAGUCCAAAGAUUUAUCGCCUGAGGAUGAGCCCGCUUAGAAUUAGGUAGUUGGUGAGGUAAAGGCUCACCAAGCCGACGAUCCUUAGCUGGUCUGAGAGGAUGAUCAGCCACACUGGGACUGAGACACGGCCCAGACUCCUACGGGAGGCAGCAGUGGGGAAUAUUGGACAAUGGGCGAAAGCCUGAUCCAGCAAUGCCGCGUGAGUGAUGAAGGCCUUAGGGUUGUAAAGCUCUUUUACCCGGGAUGAUAAUGACAGUACCGGGAGAAUAAGCUCCGGCUAACUCCGUG